AUACAAGAUGGCAAGUAUUUCUCUUUCAGCCAUUCAUUCUGAUAUUCGUGGUGAGUGACAUACAUACCAUAUGCAGGAAACGUUGCAGGGAAAAGAACCCAAAGUCAUGUGAAUAUGGAUAUGUUUGCAAAGAAGAUAAAGCCAAAGUAAAGAGAUGCUAUAAUAAAGAUUACCAAUGUAGCAAUGGUUCCCAGGCGAAGGAAUGCGACUGCAAUUAUGAGUGUAGUGACAGUAUGGACGAAGUGUUCUGCCCAUGCACAGAAUAUAGUCAGGAAUUUGUAAGAAUUCCAGGAUAUUACAUCGACCAAGAUUACGAGGUCGACCAAGAAGAUGAUCACACAGAGCAAACCUGCAUGGACUUCUGCUUACAAGAACCAGACUGUGUAAGCUUUGAUUUCGAUAUAAGUGAUGACACAUGCUAUCUAAGCUCUAUAUCUCCAGCGCAAGAUAAAGACGCAUUAGUUACGUAUUCAAGCUUUACGGUUUUUGUGAGAAAAUGCAAAAACUGUGUGAAAUAGAAAUACCAAACAUCUUUGAUUGAAUUUUAGCCAAAUAAUGUCCUUUUGUCUAUCACUUUAAUAUAUUCGAUUGACUUAUAUUUGUUGGAACGAUCAACGAUUUCCAUCGCGAUCAGAAAAGUUAUGAUAUAUCACAAGUAAAGAUUUAAUUCAGAAGAAAAUCACUGUUUGAGAUUCAGAUGAAUUACACUUAUCAUAAGUAACCGAAGUACAAUAUGAGCACUCUACGGUUGGUAAAAAAGACAUAACUUCAUAAUGUAAACUAUGUUGAAUUCAAUCGCAUUUCAAUUAGUUUGGUCUAAACGAGCCAUUUUUAUAAUAAAUUACCUAUGUACGACAAUGAAAAUAUGUGUAAUCCUUUGCACAUCCACGCCUACCUUGCUCAGAACAAGAAACUUUGACUAAUGCGUAUUUCAAAGAAACUUUGACUAAUGCGUAUUAUAAAGAAACUUUGAUAAAUGCGUAUUAUAACUGAAAAUAAGCUAGUUUAUAUUAAUUUAUUUAUUCUCGAUUGCCAAACAAGUUCUUACAACUUAUAUUAAUGGCUCUCGAGACUCAUUCCAGAAGGAACCAACCUCUAAGAGCAGAGAGAGAGGCAAUGUGGAAUUAAAGUGUCUUGCCUAAGGACACUACCACCAAGGCAGUGGUCGGGAUCGAACCCGGGACCCUUCGAUCUCAAGGCGGACGCGCUACCACUGCGCUACGGCGGCUCCACAAAUAAGCGACAGUGAAUCAUUGUUCAGUCAUCAGUCACAUUGACUUUCAUCUGGAAAAAAUAAAAAAUAUUAUAUUAUCUAUCAAUUUAAAGCUUACGCUUUUAUGGAUUUUUCAAAACCUGACCUGACAGAAAUUAUAACGUGCCACUAUUAGCUUCCCGGAAAAUUUCAUUUUAAAGUCGAAUAUAAUGAAAAGUUUAAUGAAGUGCAGUUGAAGUAGCUAUUUCAUUUCCGGACACGGAUGUUAAAAUUUCAGAAAGUAAGGAUUACAAUAUUAAGAAUUACAGAUUAAGAAUAGCAUUUCGUUUUAACGAAAUAACUAAAAAAAAAAAUGUCAGGCAUCUGAAUCCCCAAUAAACUGUAUCCUGUCUGUUCCGGUCUGAUAAGGGUUCAUAAAUUAGAAAAGAAUUGUUUCCCUCGUAUUGUUCCUGACGGACCACUGCGGGGCGAUAUUUCGCGCUCUGUUGAGCACGAUUUUCUCACUUCAGCGCUUGGUCACUCGACUGUUAGCAUGCCCAUAGAAAAUUUUUAAUAUUAAGUUUUAAUACUUUAAAUGUGCGUGUUCCAUUUUGUAUAUAAAUAUUAUACACUGAACGGAUUUCGAGGCGCGAUAGUUAUAUGUCGAUUAGCUAUAUAGAAAAUCACUGGGAUUUUUAAAAUCGGUUCAGUGUAUACGAGAAGUGAAUGUAAUUUCAUGGUAUUAUUUUCGUUGGGUACAUAAAAUAACCUGUUGAUUAUA
This is a long non-coding RNA of Mercenaria mercenaria, 1973 nucleotides long. RefSeq lists it as uncharacterized. The transcript is spliced from 4 exons. Lineage: Eukaryota; Metazoa; Mollusca; Bivalvia; Venerida; Veneridae. The record is from RefSeq and is a predicted model, not a curated record.